CGGGUGAGUAAUGCGUGACCAACCUCGCCCCAUGCUCCAGAAUAGCUCUUGGAAACGGGUGGUAAUGCUGGAUGCUCCAACUUGACGCAUGUCUUGUUGGAAAAGUGUUUAGUGGCAUGGGAUGGGGUCGCGUCCUAUCAGCUUGUAGGCGGGGUAAUGGCCCACCUAGGCUUCGACGGGUAGCCGGCCUGAGAGGGCGGACGGCCACAUUGGGACUGAGAUACGGCCCAGACUCCCUACGGGAGGCAGCAGGG
Molecule: ribosomal RNA, 254 nt
Filed under: uncultured Gardnerella sp.
Lineage: Bacteria; Bacillati; Actinomycetota; Actinomycetes; Bifidobacteriales; Bifidobacteriaceae
Description: partial 16S ribosomal RNA
Rfam family: Bacterial small subunit ribosomal RNA
Source: RNAcentral